This 621-nucleotide ribosomal RNA is filed under the name uncultured bacterium. RNAcentral describes it as "bacterial SSU rRNA". It matches the Rfam family "Bacterial small subunit ribosomal RNA", at positions 889 to 1506 of the family's 1533-position model. The record is from RNAcentral.
CCAGGCUAAAACUCAAAGGAAUUGACGGGGCCCCGCACAAGCGGCGGAGCAUGCGGAUUAAUUAGAUGCAACGCGUAGAACCUUCCCUGGGUUUCACAUGGAUCGGGAGUGCUCAGAGAUGGGUGUGCCUCUUUUGGGGUCGGUUCACAGGUGGUGCAUGGCUGUCGUCAGCUCGUGUCGUGAGAUGUUGGGUUAAGUCCCGCAACGAGCGCAACCCUUGUUCACUGUUGCCAGCACGUUAUGGUGGGGACUCAGUGGAGACCGCCGGGGUCAACUCGGAGGAAGGUGGGGAUGACGUCAAGUCAUCAUGCCCCUUAUGUCCAGGGCUUCACGCAUGCUACAAUGGCUGGUACAGAGAGUGGCGAGCCUGUGAGGGUGAGCGAAUCUCGGAAAGCCGGUUUCAGUUUGGAAUUGGGGUCUGCAACUCGACCUCAUGAAGUCGGAGUCGCUAGUAAUCGCAGAUCAGCAACGCUGCGGUGAAUACGUUCCCGGGGCUUGUACACACCGCCCGUCAAGUCAUGAAAGUUGGUAACACCCGAAGCCGGUGGCCUAACCGUUGUGGGGGAGCCGUCGAAGGUGGGACUGGUGAUUAGGACUAAGUCGUAACAAGGUAACCAAGGG